GCAUUACUGAGGAGUCUCAUAAUAGAACGAAACGAUUGUCCAGUGC
Molecule: non-coding RNA, 46 nt
Filed under: Schistosoma mansoni
Lineage: Eukaryota; Metazoa; Platyhelminthes; Trematoda; Strigeidida; Schistosomatidae
Source: RNAcentral